This 253-nucleotide ribosomal RNA is filed under the name uncultured bacterium. Its description in RNAcentral is "partial 16S ribosomal RNA". It matches the Rfam family "Bacterial small subunit ribosomal RNA", at positions 524 to 776 of the family's 1533-position model. The record is from RNAcentral.
UACGGAGGGUGCGAGCGUUGUCCGGAAUCACUGGGCGUAAAGGGCGCGUAGGCGGCCUGAUAAGUAGGGGGUGAAAUCCUGCGGCUUAACCGCAGGGCUGCCUUCUAAACUGUCAGGCUAGAGCACGGUAGAGGCAGAUGGAAUUCCCGGUGUAGCGGUGGAAUGCGUAGAGAUCGGGAAGAACAUCAGUGGCGAAGGGGGUCUGCUGGGGCGUUGCUGACGGUGAGGCGCGGCAGCGUGGGGAGCAAACAGG